RNAcentral lists this ribosomal RNA (650 nucleotides) under Amycolatopsis pretoriensis. Its description in RNAcentral is "bacterial SSU rRNA". It matches the Rfam family "Bacterial small subunit ribosomal RNA", at positions 82 to 746 of the family's 1533-position model. Lineage: Bacteria; Bacillati; Actinomycetota; Actinomycetes; Pseudonocardiales; Pseudonocardiaceae. The record is from RNAcentral.
UCGGUGGGGAUGAGUGGCGAACGGGUGAGUAACACGUGGGUAAUCUGCCCUGCACUCUGGGAUAAGCCUUGGAAACGAGGUCUAAUACCGGAUAUCACAACUCUUCGCAUGGGGGGUUGUUGAAAGUUCUGGCGGUGCAGGAUGAACCCGCGGCCUAUCAGCUUGUUGGUGGGGUAAUGGCCUACCAAGGCGACGACGGGUAGCCGGCCUGAGAGGGUGACCGGCCACACUGGGACUGAGACACGGCCCAGACUCCUACGGGAGGCAGCAGUGGGGAAUAUUGCACAAUGGGCGCAAGCCUGAUGCAGCGACGCCGCGUGAGGGAUGACGGCCUUCGGGUUGUAAACCUCUUUCGCCAGGGACGAAGCGCAAGUGACGGUACCUGGAUAAGAAGCACCGGCUAACUACGUGCCAGCAGCCGCGGUAAUACGUAGGGUGCGAGCGUUGUCCGGAUUUAUUGGGCGUAAAGAGCUCGUAGGCGGUUUGUCGCGUCGGCCGUGAAAUCUCCACGCUUAACGUGGAGCGUGCGGUCGAUACGGGCAGACUUGAGUUCGGUAGGGGAGACUGGAAUUCCUGGUGUAGCGGUGAAAUGCGCAGAUAUCAGGAGGAACACCGGUGGCGAAGGCGGGUCUCUGGGCCGAUACUGACGC